CAAAUAGGAAAAAUGGAGAAGCCCAUGGAGAGGGCUCAAAGGUCAUAAAGAAAUGAAAAAGACCCAAUGGUAAGUUAAUGUUAUAUUUUAAAGUUUAUGAGUAGUUUAAUAUUGUGCAUAUUUUGGAUGAAAAAUAUGCAAGUUGCUUAAGGAAUUUUUAAUUGAGUUGCUACUCAUACAAAUGUGUGAUUAAGUAUACUGAGUUUAAAUUGUUGCUAGGAAAGUUUGUCGUGGAGGCGUGCCGAACGAAGUAUGUGACCGACAAAUAGGAAUAAUUAUAUACGCGUACGAAUUAAUAGUGAAGUAAUAUCCCACUAUUAUGAGGUGAGUAGGGGGUGUCAAUUUUAAAAAUUUUAUAUAUAUAUACAUGUACGUAUAUUUUACGUGAAGUGCAAAAUUUAUGGCAAGCAUGCGUUGAUAGAAUUUUAAGGAGUUGUGGAUGUAAGUUAUUUUCAAAAAUUAUUUGAAAUAUAUAUAUAUUAGACGUAAAGUGUUUUAAACCGGGAAACAAGCUUUUCUAAAAGAUUUACAUCAAAGGAAAUUGUGCCUUAUUGUUUGUGUGGUGUGCAUUCAUGAAAUUUAUUACAUAUUCACCAUGCUAUUUUGAUACAAAAUAUCAUGCAAAUAUUUACAAUGAACAUUUUACAAAAAUAGAGUUUUAACGUGAUGUGGGGACCGAUAUUUUGAGAAAGAUUUAAAAUAUCCUCUUGAAGAGCAAAUUUGAAUUCUUUUAAAAGGUGAUUUCAUUUUAACCAAGAAAUUUAAGAGUAAUUGAACACUGUUACUUGUUGUGCUAUAAAUUGUAUUUUGAAUUGAUUAGCUUAUGAUAAAUCAGGCAUGAUUGGUUGGUUGGCAAUUGUUUUGAAAUAUGGAUUAUUUGUUUACCUUGAAAGGUUGUGAAUAAAAUAAUUACCAUGUCAUGCUAUUGCAAAUUUUAUUGAAUUGGUGGAUUAUAUAUUAAUUAAUCACUGCAGUAGGGGGUUUCUGUGGACCAGCCUUUUAGAGGGGCACGGUAAACCCCAUUUUAUUCUUACCUCGAACGGAGAGGCGCGUAGGGUAUCUCUUGGGGUAAAGCUUAGGGUUCACUUCACGCCAAACCACAACGUGAGGGGAAACUCAGCCAACGCCAAGGAACGACUAUGUUUUCAAAAUAAAAACAUGAUUUAUGCUUACAUAACUUUUUAAUAGCCUUAGCAGACUCGGUUGGGAUAGCCCUAGGCCAAGGUAUCCCUGACAACAGAGUAUGAGAAUGAUUUUGGCACGAGCUAAAGUUUUAAGAAAGUCAUAAGCCAUAUUGUUUAUUUUGGCAAAAAUGUAAUGGUUUUAUAUGAGUUGAAAUAAGUUUUAAUAUUAUGAAUUAUAUUUCUUUGCAUGGUGAAAAUAGAAUUAAACAGUUUUUCCCAGCUCCCCUAUUUGUU
RNAcentral lists this long non-coding RNA (1418 nucleotides) under Theobroma cacao (cacao). RNAcentral describes it as "long non-coding RNA (TCAC_LNC005269)". Lineage: Eukaryota; Viridiplantae; Streptophyta; Magnoliopsida; Malvales; Malvaceae. The record is from RNAcentral.